RNAcentral lists this ribosomal RNA (361 nucleotides) under Acanthamoeba genotype T4. Its description in RNAcentral is "SSU rRNA". It matches the Rfam family "Eukaryotic small subunit ribosomal RNA", at positions 824 to 1085 of the family's 1831-position model. Lineage: Eukaryota; Discosea; Longamoebia; Acanthamoebidae. The record is from RNAcentral.
AGGACCCUGUCCUCCUAUUUUCAGUUGGUUUUGGCAGCGCGAGGACUAGGGUAAUGAUUAAUAGGGAUAGUUGGGGGCAUUAAUAUUUAAUUGUCAGAGGUGAAAUUCUUGGAUUUAUGAAAGAUUAACUUCUGCGAAAGCAUCUGCCAAGGAUGUUUUCAUUAAUCAAGAACGAAAGUUAGGGGAUCGAAGACGAUCAGAUACCGUCGUAGUCUUAACCAUAAACGAUGCCGACCAGCGAUUAGGAGACGUUGAAUACAAAACACCACCAUCGGUGCGGUCGUCCUUGGCGCGUUGGUCUUCAAAAGCCAGCGCGCGGGGGCGGCUUAGCCCGGUGGCACCGGUGAAUGACUCCCUAGCG